UACGAGGGGUGCAAGCGUUACUCGGAAUUACUGGGCGUAAAGCGUGCGUAGGCGGUUUGUUAAGUCUGUCGUGAAAGCCCCGGGCUCAACCUGGGAAUGGCGAUGGAAACUGGCGAGCUAGAGUACGGUAGAGGAGAGUGGAAUUCCCGGUGUAGCAGUGAAAUGCGUAGAGAUCGGGAGGAACAUCAGUUGCGAAGGCGGCUCUCUGGACCAGUACUGACGCUGAGGCACGAAAGCGUGGGGAGCAAACAGG
Molecule: ribosomal RNA, 253 nt
Filed under: uncultured bacterium
Lineage: Bacteria
Description: partial 16S ribosomal RNA
Rfam family: Bacterial small subunit ribosomal RNA
Source: RNAcentral